This 251-nucleotide ribosomal RNA is filed under the name uncultured bacterium. Its description in RNAcentral is "partial 16S ribosomal RNA". It matches the Rfam family "Bacterial small subunit ribosomal RNA", at positions 524 to 776 of the family's 1533-position model. The record is from RNAcentral.
GACGGGGGGGGCAAGGGUUCUUCGGAAUGACUGGGCGUAAAGGGCACGUAGGCGGUGAAUCGGGUUGAAAGUGAAAGUCACCAAAAAGUGGCGGAAUGCUCUCAAAACCAAUUCACUUGAGUGAGAAAGAGGAGAGUGGAAUUUCGUGUGUAGGGGUGAAAUCCGUAGAUCUACGAAGGAACGCCAAAAGCGAAGGCAGCUCUCUGGGUCCCUACCAACGCUGGGGUGCGAAAGCAUGGGGAGCGAACAGG